Molecule: small RNA, 130 nt
Rfam family: RtT RNA
About the family: This family represents a bacterial cis-regulatory element known as RtT RNA. The exact function of RtT is unknown although it is thought that it may be involved in changing the cellular response in relation to amino acid starvation.
UUCGUCUGGAGUUCAAAGAGGAUGAGAACCUCCGAAGGAGGUUUGAGCCGAGCGCAGCGAGACAACGUUGCUUCAGCAACGGCCCGCAGGGCAGCUCUCGCAGAGAGCGGUCAUCCUCUCUCGCCGACCA